GACGAACGCUGGCGGCGUGCUUAACACAUGCAAGUCGAACGGAAAGGCCCUGCUUUUGUGGGGUGCUCGAGUGGCGAAAGGGUGAGUAACACGUGAGUAACCUGCCCUUGACUUUGGGAUAACCUCAGGAAACUCGGGCUAAUACCGGAUAGGAGCUCCUGCUGCAUUGUGUGGGUUGGAAAGUUUCGGCGGUUGGGGAUGGACUCGCGGCUUAUCAGCUUGUUGGUGGGGUAGUGGCUUACCAAGGUUUUGACGGGUAGCCGGCAUGCGAGGGUGACCGGCGACAAUGGGCCUGAGAUACGGCCCAGAAGGGUACGGGAGGCAGCAGGGGGGAAUAUUGCAGAGUGGGCGGAAGCCUGAUGCAGCAACGCCGCGUGCGGGAUGACGGCUUUCGGGUGGUAAACCGAUUUCGAAUGUGACGAAGCGUGAGUGACGGUAAUGGGUAAAGAAGCACCGGCUAACUACGUG
This 468-nucleotide ribosomal RNA is filed under the name uncultured bacterium. RNAcentral describes it as "partial 16S ribosomal RNA". It matches the Rfam family "Bacterial small subunit ribosomal RNA", at positions 28 to 507 of the family's 1533-position model. The record is from RNAcentral.